GGGGAAGUAGAUCAGCUGGUCAGAUCGUCACGUUGACAUCGUGAAGGUCGGCGGUUCGAGUCCGCCCUUCCCCACCA
RNAcentral lists this transfer RNA (77 nucleotides) under Bacillota bacterium. Its description in RNAcentral is "tRNA-Val". It matches the Rfam family "tRNA". Rfam says of the family: Transfer RNA (tRNA) molecules are approximately 80 nucleotides in length. The record is from RNAcentral. Lineage: Bacteria; Bacillati; Bacillota. RNAcentral also lists the same sequence under 1 other name.